RNAcentral lists this ribosomal RNA (554 nucleotides) under Escherichia coli. RNAcentral's name for it is "partial 23S ribosomal RNA". It matches the Rfam family "Bacterial large subunit ribosomal RNA", at positions 906 to 1456 of the family's 2925-position model. Lineage: Bacteria; Pseudomonadati; Pseudomonadota; Gammaproteobacteria; Enterobacterales; Enterobacteriaceae. The record is from RNAcentral.
AGCACUGUUUCGGCAAGGGGGUCAUCCCGACUUACCAACCCGAUGCAAACUGCGAAUACCGGAGAAUGUUAUCACGGGAGACACACGGCGGGUGCUAACGUCCGUCGUGAAGAGGGAAACAACCCAGACCGCCAGCUAAGGUCCCAAAGUCAUGGUUAAGUGGGAAACGAUGUGGGAAGGCCCAGACAGCCAGGAUGUUGGCUUAGAAGCAGCCAUCAUUUAAAGAAAGCGUAAUAGCUCACUGGUCGAGUCGGCCUGCGCGGAAGAUGUAACGGGGCUAAACCAUGCACCGAAGCUGCGGCAGCGACGCUGAUGCGUUGUUGGGUAGGGGAGCGUUCUGUAAGCCUGUGAAGGUGUGCUGUGAGGCAUGCUGGAGGUAUCAGAAGUGCGAAUGCUGACAUAAGUAACGAUAAAGCGGGUGAAAAGCCCGCUCGCCGGAAGACCAAGGGUUCCUGUCCAACGUUAAUCGGGGCAGGGUGAGUCGACCCCUAAGGCGAGGCCGAAAGGCGUAGUCGAUGGGAAACAGGUUAAUAUUCCUGUACUUGGUGUUACUG